This 233-nucleotide ribosomal RNA is filed under the name uncultured bacterium. RNAcentral's name for it is "partial 16S ribosomal RNA". It matches the Rfam family "Bacterial small subunit ribosomal RNA", at positions 15 to 237 of the family's 1533-position model. The record is from RNAcentral.
GAUCCUGGCUCAGGAUGAACGCUAGCUACAGGCUUAACACAUGCAAGUCGAGGGGCAGCAUUUCAGUUUGCUUGCAAGCUGAGGAUGGCGACCGGCGCACGGGUGAGUAACACGUAUCCAACCUGCCGAUAACUCCGGGAUAGCCUUUCGAAAGAAAGAUUAAUACCGGAUGGCAUAUGAUUAUCGGCAUGAUAAUCCUAUUAAAGAAUUUCGGUUAUCGAUGGGGAUGCGUU